Long non-coding RNA from Arachis stenosperma, 1060 nucleotides. RefSeq lists it as uncharacterized. The transcript is spliced from 2 exons. NCBI's taxonomy places the organism in Eukaryota, Viridiplantae, Streptophyta, Magnoliopsida, Fabales, Fabaceae. The record is from RefSeq and is a predicted model, not a curated record.
GAGAGAGAUUAGAGUUCCUAAAGAGCAUCAACGAGAUUGGAAACCCUAACUCUGUCCUCCCCUUUCUUUUUGAUUUCAGAUACAGUUUUCUUCCAACUUCAAUCCCUGCCAUUCUCAUCCUCUUCCUCUGCUGCAAAUUUCGUACGCCUCCGCCGCCGCCGCAACACGCCUCCCCCGCCGCCGCGCCCUGCUUCCGCCGCCGCUCCCUGCUUCUUUUCAUUCUCACAUUAGAAGCAUUCAGAGAAGAAAAGGUCCGAUAGGGUUUUCAUACAAUUUCAAUUCCUGCAUUUCUCUCUUCCUCUUCCUCUGCUACACAUCUCACUAGCAUAGUCUCGCCGCCGCAAUACGCCGCAACCUGCGACUGCCGCCGCGCAACCUGCCGCCCCCGCGCAAGACGCUGCCCCCGCCGCGCAAGAAUGCUGACAGACAUUCUCAAGGAUGACAGCAAUUCUAACUCUGUAUGUUCAACUUCUUCUUCUUCUUCAAUUCAUAUCUGACACCGUACCAUUCACGGAUUUCCAUCCUUUUUCCUCAGCUCCGUCCUCUGUACAAUUCUGAUUUCACCAGGUCUUUGCCAAUAAAUCAAUUGAAGAUUUGAUGGGAUCUAACUCUGAGGUUCACUUCUCUGGAUUUCACAUGGAUUGCCUAGAGCAAAGAAAGGCCAGCAUGGAGCAACCAACAACUUCAGAAGAUGAUUUGUAUAAACAACCUUUCAUUAUAGGUGUGUUUUUGAAUGGCAGGCUGCCACUGUAGUCAUAAAAUCCACCAACUUAUUAGUUGGAUCUUGGAACUCAAUGAUCAUGCUGGUGCAUAAUAUCAUUCAAUGAUCACUUCACUUUUUGAUAUGCUAGUAUAAGUUAUACUCUUUUGCUUUAAAUUUUGCAAAAUGGUGUCAAAUCAUAUACUUUGUCAUUUCUUUUGAAAAGUAAAUUGUCAAUGAAAUUUGUUGAACUUUUUCGUUCCUCUCUUUUCUCUUAUCAAAGUUGUUAACACUAUAAAGAGUUGCAUCCCAGCAUUGGUACUUGAUAGUGUAUUAAGAGAAUGAUGCGUUUGCUUUCAA